Molecule: ribosomal RNA, 710 nt
Filed under: Enteractinococcus sp.
Lineage: Bacteria; Bacillati; Actinomycetota; Actinomycetes; Micrococcales; Micrococcaceae
Description: bacterial SSU rRNA
Rfam family: Bacterial small subunit ribosomal RNA
Source: RNAcentral
UUUUGCGGUUUGGGAUGGUCUCGCGGCCUAUCAGCUGGUUGGUGGGGUAAUGGCCUACCAAGGCUUUGACGGGUAGCCGGCCUGAGAGGGUGACCGGCCACACUGGGACUGAGACACGGCCCAGACUCCUACGGGAGGCAGCAGUGGGGGAUAUUGCACAAUGGGCGCAAGCCUGAUGCAGCGACGCCGCGUGAGGGAUGACGGCCUUCGGGUUGUAAACCUCUUUCAGUUGGGAAGAAGCCCCUUUGGGGGUGACGGUACUUUCAGAAGAAGCACCGGCUAACUACGUGCCAGCAGCCGCGGUAAUACGUAGGGUGCGAGCGUUAUCCGGAAUUAUUGGGCGUAAAGAGCUCGUAGGCGGUUUGUCGCGUCUGCUGUGAAAUCUCGAGGCUUAACCUUGAGUUUGCAGUGGGUACGGGCAGGCUGGAGUGCAGUAGGGGAGACUGGAAUUCCUGGUGUAGCGGUGAAAUGCGCAGAUAUCAGGAGGAACACCGAUGGCGAAGGCAGGUCUCUGGGCUGUUACUGACGCUGAGGAGCGAAAGCAUGGGGAGCGAACAGGAUUAGAUACCCUGGUAGUCCAUGCCGUAAACGUUGGGCACUAGGUGUGGGGACCAUUUCCACGGUUUCCGCGCCGUAGCUAACGCAUUAAGUGCCCCGCCUGGGGAGUACGGCCGCAAGGCUAAAACUCAAAGGAAUUGACGGGGGCCCGC